UCACUAUCAUCAUAAACCUAUCUGUGAUUUUAAGAUCGCACAGAAAUUUUCUGUCUCCUCCAUAACAAUCCAGGUGAACUGGGUUAUGCUCCAACUACAAAUAUUCUUCAAAUCUCAAUGACUUACAACUGUGACUAACUCCACAUGCCUGCUGGAAGUCAAUGGGAGCUCUGCUGUCAGUUCUCACUCUGGAACCGGGGCUGAAGGAGAAGCCACUAUGUGGAAUAUUGCCAGGCCAUGGCAGAGAGAAAGCAAGAGCCAAACAAAUUUUGUUCUAGUUCUUAGUUCUUAAAGUCUCCUAGUUCUCAAAGUUUCCUCUAUUUCUUUGACUGAACUGGGUCACACAGCCAGCCACAUCCAACUUCAGAAGCAGGAUUCUAUGUGACUAUAAGAAGAAUUGCUCCCUGGCCAACCUGCACGUGACAUAUGGGAUCAAGACCUUCCAUGGCCUGCACUCUGCCUGCCUCUCCAGUCUCAUUUCGCACGCGCCCCUCAAUUCUCCUGGGAUCAGCCAUAUCGGGCAGCCAGUUCUUGUUACGCUCUUCAUAUAUUCAUAUCAUUGCAAAUGCUGUUCCUUCUGCCUGGAAUGCUCUUCCUUCAUUCCAAGGGAACUUGCCCUCAAGGCAAACCGCUUAUCAUUCUUCAAGACAGCUCAAGGAUCACCUCCUCUAUGUAUUUACUCUGAUACACUUGGUAGGAGUUAGCUAUAGUCCUCUAUUAUGCCCUAAUUGUUUGCUUGUCUAUUUUCAUUAUACUGUGGCCCUCAAUGGCAAAGAUCAUUUCUGUACCCCCAGUGCCUAGUACUACACCUUCCAUGAGCCAAAUAUGUGCUUGUGUGUUAGUUGCUCAGCUGUGUCUGACUCUGACUCCAUGGACUGUAGCCCGCCAGGCUUCUUCUCUGUCCAUGAGAUUUCCCAGGCAAGACUGGAUGGGGUAGCCAUUUCCUUCUCCA
Long non-coding RNA from Bos taurus (domestic cattle), 952 nucleotides. The record is from Ensembl. NCBI's taxonomy places the organism in Eukaryota, Metazoa, Chordata, Mammalia, Artiodactyla, Bovidae.